This 433-nucleotide ribosomal RNA is filed under the name uncultured bacterium. Its description in RNAcentral is "partial 16S ribosomal RNA". It matches the Rfam family "Bacterial small subunit ribosomal RNA", at positions 29 to 507 of the family's 1533-position model. The record is from RNAcentral.
AACGAACGCUGGCGGCAUGCCUAACACAUGCAAGUCGAACGAGACCUUUGGGUCUAGUUGCGCACGUGUGCGUACCGCGUGGGAAUCUGCCCUUGGGUUCGGAAUAACAGUGAGAAAUUGCUGCUAAUACCGGAUGAUGUCUUCGGACCAAAGAUUUAUCGCCCAGGGAUGAGCCCGCGUAGGAUUAGCUAGUUGGUGGGGUAAUGGCCUACCAAGGCGACGAUCCUUAGCUGGUCUGAGAGGAUGAUCAGCCACACUGGGACUGAGACACGGCCCAGACUCCGACGGGAGGCAGCAGUGGGGAAUAUUGGACAAUGGGCGCAAGCCUGAUCAAGCAAUGCCGCGUGAGUGAUGAAGGCCUUAGGGUUGUAAAGCUCUUUUACCAGGGAUGAUAAUGACAGUACCUGGAGAAUAAGCUCCGGCUAACUACGUG